GAUGAACGCUGGCGGCGUGCUUAACACAUGCAAGUCGAACGGAACUACUCCAAUGAGCGUCUUCGGAAAGGAUUUGGUUUAGUUUAGUGGCGGACGGGUGAGUAACGCGUGGGUAACCUGCCCUAUACAGGGGGAUAACAGUUGGAAACGACUGUUAAUACCGCAUAAGCGCACAGGAGCGCAUGCUCCGGUGUGAAAAACUCCGGUGGUAUAGGAUGGACCCGCGUCUGAUUAGCUGGUUGGCGGGGUAACGGCCCACCAAGGCGACGAUCAGUAGCCGGUCUGAGAGGGUGAACGGCCACAUUGGGACUGAGACACGGCCCAAACUCCUACGGGAGGCAGCAGUGGGGAAUAUUGCACAAUGGGGGAAACCCUGAUGCAGCGACGCCGCGUGAGCGAAGAAGUAUCUCGGUAUGUAAAGCUCUAUCAGCAGGGAAGAAAAUGACGGUACCUGACGAAGAAGCCCCGGCUAACUACGUG
RNAcentral lists this ribosomal RNA (480 nucleotides) under uncultured bacterium. RNAcentral's name for it is "partial 16S ribosomal RNA". It matches the Rfam family "Bacterial small subunit ribosomal RNA", at positions 28 to 507 of the family's 1533-position model. The record is from RNAcentral.